ACGAACGCUGGCGGCGUGCUUAACACAUGCAAGUCGAACGGAAAGGCCUGCUUUCCCUUGUGGAUUGCGGGUACUCGAGUGGCGAACGGGUGAGUAACACGUGAGUGAUCUGCCCCCAACUUGGGUAUAAGCCUGGGAAACUGGGUCUAAUUCCCGAUAGGACUGCAGGGUGGUGCCUGUGGUGGAAAACGAUUUUCUAGUGGUUGGGGAUGAGCUCGCGGCCUAUCAGCUUGUUGGUGGGGUAAUGGCCUACCAAGGCGGCGACGGGUAGCCGGCCUGAGAGGGUGGACGGCCACAUUGGGACUGAGAGACGGCCCAGACUCCUACGGGAGGCAGCAGUGGGGAAUAUUGCACAAUGGGCGGAAGCCUGAUGCAGCGACGCCGCGUGGGGGAUGACGGCCUUCGGGUUGUAAACUCCUUUCGACCGCGAGGAAGCCACCUGGUUGGAAGGGUGGUGACGGUAGUGGUAGAAGAAGCACCGGCUAACUACGUG
Molecule: ribosomal RNA, 493 nt
Filed under: uncultured bacterium
Lineage: Bacteria
Description: partial 16S ribosomal RNA
Rfam family: Bacterial small subunit ribosomal RNA
Source: RNAcentral